ACUCUAAUGGUAGUUUAGUAAAAUGGAUGAGUAGUUUCAGUCUGCCUCCUCAGGCUGCAACAGAAAGUCAAGCCAAGCAGCCAGGAAUGUCUGGGAAUCACCUGGAGAGAGGACAGACAUCUGAAGCACAGUGGAAGGUGAUAGAUGAGUGGGACCCAGGAAUAAACUACAGAAGCAGUGUGGAUUGUGUUGAUUCUAGCAAGCAGGAGGGGUCCUCGUGGUAUUUCUGAGCAUAAGCUGAGGGAUUAUGUUAAUGUGGGGGGAAAAAAUCACCGAACUGGGAGAGAGUCAGACUUCCUUGGGUGUGACCUUUGCCCUGUCACCAACAUCGUAUGUCACAUCCCCAUGGACGAGUCACAUUUUCUUUCUAACUUUGUUUCUUUGUCUGUAAAAUUAUUAAAUGAUUUCUUGACUCUUUCUUUUCUAUAUUCUUUUUAACGAUUUCAUUAGCUUUUAAUAACUAUGUGGGGAAAGGAGAGCAACCUGCUAUAGACCUUGGCCUGUGUGAGUCUUUAAUUUUGUUUUUUGUUAUUUCAAAGAAGUUCUUGUUCAAAAGACCAUGAGACAUUUCAUCAUUGGACUUGUGAGGGAGUUGUCUCUUUAAUCUCUCAUGUUUUCUUUUUUCCCUACAAAUGAUACCCACAAUACUGCUGUUGUCUUGUGCUCUCUGGAUCAGCACUUUUCUGGAGAAAUGAAAACAUUGCACUUUUAAAGGCACAGAAAGCAAAAUUACUGUAGCAUCAGGAUUCAAGGUUACAGAAUUGGUUAACUUUGUGGUUUGUUUUGCUGAGCUGAAUGAAAAAGAUUUGAUCAAAUGUUACUGCUUAGGGAUAAAUAUUAAUCACCACAAACUCUCUCAGUGGUUAUUGUCCCCCCUUUUGCAAAAACUUUCAAAUUACGGUCUGGGACUUAGAUUUGAUUGUCAGCUGAAUAUGGGCAUGAAAUAUGUGGAAUAACCAGAUAAAAGACCCUUAAUUGGUUGUAGAGAAACAACUCUUUGGGGGUCCAUGUCCAGAGAGAGAAUUGGUUCUGUAUUAUUGAUUUGUAUCAUUAUUUUGAUUAAGUGUCUAGCAGUUGCUGUAGACUUUUAUAACAUUAUAUAAUAGAAUUAGUAUUAGAAAAAAGUAAUCAAAGGUAGGUUUUUUUAAAGAUACAAGAACUGAAGUUUUUAAUCUUCAGUCCUUCAUAGAGAAGGAUUUAUUAGGUUUGAGAGUUCUCAGUACCAAGUAAAUUUUAACCGCAGACUUAAAACAUGAGUACACUCACAUAUAGUAACCCCCUCCUCUGGCCUGGUUUUGUUCUCUAUUCCAGUUGACUUUGCUUUAGGGGAAAGGAGGGAGAGUAUUGGUAUUAAUUUAUUUGAAAAAUCAGUAGAAAUGUGUCAGACACUUACUAUAUGCCAGGACUUACAUUGAUACAUAAGAGGUGGACCCCUGUCCUUAUGGAGCCCGCUUGAAUCAAAAAGUAAACAUAUGAUUAGCAUGCAAAUAGAUGGCUAUAAGAAUGUGAUGGGCAUGCUGUUGUUUCUAGCAGGUUGCCUACCACAUGGUCUAUAUGUGUUAGAGAUAUGCAUUAGGUACACAGAAGAGGGUGCAUUUGUGGCAUAGAGAGAGAUUAUAGGAAUCUUCAUGAAGGAAGUGACAUGAUGAUGAUAUUUUAAAUGACAGGAAGGAGUAUGCAAAAAAAAAAAAAAAAAA
Molecule: long non-coding RNA, 1697 nt
Organism: Macaca fascicularis (crab-eating macaque)
Lineage: Eukaryota; Metazoa; Chordata; Mammalia; Primates; Cercopithecidae
Source: Ensembl